This 409-nucleotide long non-coding RNA is filed under the name Nicotiana benthamiana. RNAcentral describes it as "long non-coding RNA (NBEN_LNC002208)". The record is from RNAcentral. Lineage: Eukaryota; Viridiplantae; Streptophyta; Magnoliopsida; Solanales; Solanaceae.
UAAUCAAUAAAAACUUCUUGGAUUUAGUCAAAGGAGGAUGUAAUAUUUUAAUGAUGUAAACACUAUUUAUAUUCGUAUUUUGGAUACGUACUACUGUCAAAAAAAAAAAAUCAGAGACAUGUGUUGUAGCAGAAUCCAAUUACGGAGAGUUCUAAUCUACAAGGCACCAUAACCCAGUUUACGCAAUACCAAAAAUCAACAACAACAACAACAAAAAAAAAAUCAAGUAUAAUUUCACUAGUGGGGUGUGAGGAGGGUACCGAGCACGUAGAGCUUACCCAUACCAUGAUUGAAGAGAGGUUGUUUCCAUUAAAAUCAAACUGAGCAAAAAGAUAGUUAGAAAAAUCAUGUUUCACAAUGCAAUAGUUAUUAAAAUAAUAUAGAAUUUCAGCAUUGACACACAAAGUCA